CCUACGGGAGGCAGCAGUGAGGAAUAUUGGUCAAUGGGCGCGAGCCUGAACGAGCAAUGUCGCGUGAAGGAUGAAUGCCCUACGGGUUGUAAACUUCUUUUAUAAAGGAAUAGAGUGAGGCACGUGUGCCUUUUUGUAUGUACUUUAUGAUUAAGGAUCGGCUAACUCCGUGCCAGCAGCCGCGGUAAUACGGAGGGUCCGAGCGUUAUCCGGAUAUAUUGGGUUGAAAGGGAGCGUAGAUGGGUUGUUAAGUCAGUUGUGAAAGUUUGCGGCUCAACCGUAAAAAUGCAAUUGAUACUGGCAGUCUUGAGUACAGUUGAGGUAGGCGGAAUUCGUGGUGUAGCGGUGAAAUGCUUAGAUAUCACGAAGAACUCCGAUUGCGAAGGCAGCUUACUAAACUGCCACUGACAUUGAUGCUCGAAAGUGUGGGUAGCAAACAGGAUUAGAUACCCUAGUAGUC
Molecule: ribosomal RNA, 460 nt
Filed under: uncultured bacterium
Lineage: Bacteria
Description: partial 16S ribosomal RNA
Rfam family: Bacterial small subunit ribosomal RNA
Source: RNAcentral